Harpegnathos saltator (Jerdon's jumping ant) is the source of this 431-nucleotide long non-coding RNA. RefSeq lists it as uncharacterized. The transcript is spliced from 3 exons. The record is from RefSeq and is a predicted model, not a curated record. NCBI's taxonomy places the organism in Eukaryota, Metazoa, Arthropoda, Insecta, Hymenoptera, Formicidae.
AACUUAUUGCACUAGUUCAGUAGUGCAGCUAAAAAGAACAGACCAAGAGAGAGAAGAAUAUCGGCACGUGAAUUCGAGUCGAACACGAGCAACGUGAUCGCAACGUUGGUAGUUUACGUCGAGCAAUGAGCGACAGCAAAGGUUUGACAAUUGCGCAUUUCGGUUUUGAAGCUUCCUAACCUCAAAGAUAUCACAAUGCUGCGCUCACAUUUUCGACUGAAAGUUGACUUGUCCAAGUUUUUUCACGAUGUGCGUCGGAUCUGCUAAAUUUUUAUUGAUUGAUCACUAAGAUAUUUGGCAUAAGAGAACCAUUUCAUUUGUUGUUGAACGAUGCCGAAUAUCUGCCACCGAUGGAGAAUAUUCGCAUUCUCAUCGAAAACGAGAUGAUCAAGUUAAAGCAUGUCACAAUAUUUCACACGAUAAUGUUGUCG